This is a non-coding RNA of Neolamprologus brichardi, 237 nucleotides long. The record is from RefSeq and is a predicted model, not a curated record. NCBI's taxonomy places the organism in Eukaryota, Metazoa, Chordata, Actinopteri, Cichliformes, Cichlidae.
GUUACAGUAACUGUGUCAGGAGCUGACAGCUCUUCAUCUCCUGUGUGGUUGAUUGUUGGACUGGUUUGUGGAGUCUCUCUCAUUAUUAUUCUCCUGCUCUUGUUGUAUCGCUGCAGACAGUCCAAGUAUUCCUGCUUCACCAGGUCGAUCCAGUCUGAGAGUCACAGUCCGGGCUCCUCCACGAAUCAUGGAGUCAACCAGAAUGAAACUCAUGACUACAACUCUCUUCAUCCUGGU